GCUUUGUUAUUUAUUGGUUACUUUGAUAUCAUUAUCACUAACUCACGUCACAGAUUGUUCAAAAAACUAUAUUCGACUCCAUAUCAUAGAGAGAAGUAACAAAGGUAAUUAUUAUACCACAGUAUGUUUUUCAACAUAAAAAAGAAUGAAAAAUGUGUACUAUUUCAUUCCAGACUAUUUUCCAGCUUUAUGGAGAGAAUAUUUGGAAAUUUUUCUCUGUAUUUAUGAUAAAGGUAAUAUUUUUGUGAUAUGGAACGUUGUAGUACUAUUUCAUAGAUCUCUACACUUAUACUCAAUUCAUUAUCUGGAAACGAAAUGUCUUCAAACAACGACAUCAUCAUACCAUUAUACAG
This 353-nucleotide long non-coding RNA is filed under the name Mytilus galloprovincialis (Mediterranean mussel). Lineage: Eukaryota; Metazoa; Mollusca; Bivalvia; Mytilida; Mytilidae. The record is from RNAcentral.